Molecule: ribosomal RNA, 135 nt
Filed under: Triticum aestivum (bread wheat)
Lineage: Eukaryota; Viridiplantae; Streptophyta; Magnoliopsida; Poales; Poaceae
Description: partial small subunit ribosomal RNA
Source: RNAcentral
AUGACCCACGCUCCUUUAGGCUCUUUAAAUUCCAUGGGUGGCCUAGCUAUCGAGAUCAAUGCAGUUAAUUAUGUCUCUCCUAGAAGUUGGUUAUCAACUUCUCAUUUUGUUCUAGGAUUCUUUACUUUAUUUUGA